This 104-nucleotide non-coding RNA is filed under the name Stenotrophomonas panacihumi. Its description in RNAcentral is "Glycine sequence". It matches the Rfam family "Glycine riboswitch aptamer". Rfam says of the family: This family represents the bacterial glycine riboswitch. Glycine riboswitches usually consist of two metabolite-binding aptamers domains with similar structures in tandem. The record is from Rfam by way of RNAcentral. Lineage: Bacteria; Pseudomonadati; Pseudomonadota; Gammaproteobacteria; Lysobacterales; Lysobacteraceae.
CCCCAACACUCUGGAGAGACCGGUUCGAUCCGGCGCCGAAGGGGCACGAGAGGUGGAGCGAUCCGCCUUUCCAAACUCUCAGGCAAAAGGACAGAGGGGCGCGA